AUGCAAGUCGAGGGGGCCCGCAAGGGCAACCGGCAGACGAGGUCAGUAACACGUACGAACGUACCCCAGAGUCUGGCAUAGCUCACCGAAAGGUGAGGUAAUUCCAGAUGGUCCCGCAAGGGUAAAGGUUUUUCGCUCUGGGAGCGGCGUGCGCAGUAUCAGCUAGUUGGUAGGGUAACGGCCUACCAAGGCUACGACGCUUAGGGGAGCUGAGAGGCUGACCCCCACCGAGGGAACUGAGACACGGUCCCUACUCCUACGGGAGGCUGCAGUCGAGAAUAUUUCGCAGUGGACGAAAGUCUGACGGAGCGACAUCGCGUGCUGGAUGAAGUGCUUCGGUACGUAAACAGCUUUUAUGUGGGACGAAAUCAUUGACGGUACCACAUGAAUAAGGGGCUCCUAACUCUGUGCCAGCAGGAGCGGUAAUACAGAGGCCCCAAGCGUUAUCCGGAAUCACUGGGCGUAAAGGGUGUCAAGGCGGUCGUAUUAGUCGUUUGUAAAAUCCGUGGGCUCAACCUACGGACGGCAAGCGAAACGGUACGGCUUGAGGUUUGGAGAGGUGCAUGGAACUCACGGUGUAGGGGUGAAAUCCGUUGAUAUCGUGGGGAACACCAAAGGCGAAGGCAGUGCACUGGCCAAAAUCUGACGCUCACACACGAAAGCUAGGGUAGCGAACGGGAUUAGAUACCCCGGUAGUCCUAGCCCUAAACGCUGCUCGCUCGUUUUACGGAGUAUCGACCCUCUGUGAGACUAAGCUAACGCGGUAAGCGAGCCGCCUGGGUAGUACGAGCGCAAGCUUAAAACUCAGAGGAAUAGACGGGGGACUCGCACAAGGGGGUGGAUCAUGUGGCUUUAUUUCGUCGAUAAGCCGAAGAACCCUUACCAGGGGCUAGAAAUCCCAGCUGCAUCCCAGCAGAAACGUUGGGAGCUCUUUCGAGGGUGCUUGGACAGAUGAUGCAUGGUUGUCGUCAGUUUCGUUGCUUUGAGCUUGCUUCCCUUCAGAGGGGAUAAACGAAACGGCCAACCCCCUCU
RNAcentral lists this ribosomal RNA (1032 nucleotides) under uncultured bacterium. RNAcentral describes it as "bacterial SSU rRNA". It matches the Rfam family "Bacterial small subunit ribosomal RNA", at positions 55 to 1116 of the family's 1533-position model. The record is from RNAcentral.